Molecule: long non-coding RNA, 693 nt
Organism: Canis lupus familiaris (dog)
Lineage: Eukaryota; Metazoa; Chordata; Mammalia; Carnivora; Canidae
Exons: 3
Source: RefSeq, a predicted model, not a curated record
CCUGGGCCCUCUCAGGCCUGACCACAGGGCAGGGAGGGCCAGGAAGGGAGAGACACUGAGGGGCAGAGACAAGGACUUCCCCGUCUUUAUCUUUGCACCGGUGGGGUGGCCACCAACGACUCGCAAACGAUUGUUACCUCACAUUCCACCUGGAUUGUGUCCGGCAGCCGCCUUCUGGAAGUCCAGUCACAGUUGGGGAUAUUUGGCGUUGAGUUUCCUUGCCACCAAAGACGGAAGGGAAAUAUGAUAAUCAGCAAUGAGCUGCACAUUUUCCUUGGAGGGAAAAAAAAUAUGUCCCCUGCGGAGAAACUCGGGGCAGGGCGCAGGUGUCUCCCACGGGCCCGUGACACCGGGAUGGGGACGGAGCCGUGUCCUCACAGGCAGGUGCAGAAGCAGCGCAUGGCGUGUUCACCAUGGAAGCUCGUCGAACCCCGAGAGAACCUUCUGACAAGCUUCCACACGGGGAGGCUGAGGACAUCGCGCCAAGGGCGCCCACCCGCUGUGAGCGGUCCGGUGACCCCGCUACAGUGAGGCACCUUGGCCGGGCCAGGUCAUAGGAAUCGGAGAGUGCGGUGGCGGGGAUGUGGCCUGCGGGGGACAGGGUGGCCGGGCGUGAACUCUGCACUUAAAAGUGAUGAAUGUGGUGAAUUUUUUGUCAUGUACACUCUGCCACAAUAAGAAAUAAAAAAUAAA